This is a long non-coding RNA of Triticum aestivum (bread wheat), 1372 nucleotides long. RefSeq lists it as uncharacterized. NCBI's taxonomy places the organism in Eukaryota, Viridiplantae, Streptophyta, Magnoliopsida, Poales, Poaceae. The record is from RefSeq and is a predicted model, not a curated record. The transcript has 3 exons.
AUUCCUGAAGAUUGAAACUUGUCGGCACUCUCUCGCACUUUUCUAUAUUAUUAGAAGGACACGCGUAUACCCUAGUAGGACACGUGUGCAUGCUACCGUGGGUAAAAUAAGUGAAGAAAGGGUCCCGAAGGCCACCUUGCAGCCACCCCUCGCGGCUAUAAAAGGAGACGCUGGGCUCAAGAAGAGAACACAAGAGACGGGAGAGCACGGAGCACUCAAAGCAUCGAGACUCUCCACCAGAGCACCACUUCCUUCGUAGUCUAGCCACCACCACUACUAGUAGAAUAGCCAAGAAGGCGCUUAGUUCGCCAAGAGUUUGAAGGCUGAAGAAGCUCUCAAGGCUAAUCGCAUGAAGAUCUGUAUGGCCGAAGAGCGAAGACUGGUACACAAAGACUAGCCAAUUAUUCACCGAGAGACAAUGCCACGUGAAGAAAGCAAAGAUUCCUGAAGAUUGAAACUUGUCGGCACUCACUCGCACUUUUCUAUAUUAUUAGAAGGACACGCGUAUACCCUAGUAGGACACGUGUGCAUGCUACCGUGGGUAAAAUAAGUGAAGGAAGGCUCCCGAAGGCCACCUUGCAGCCACCCCUCGCGGCUAUAAAAGGAGAUGCUGGGCUCAAGAAGAGAACACAAGAGACGGGAGAGCACGGAGCACUCAAAGCAUCGAGACUCUCCACCAGAGCACCACUUCCUUCGUAGUCUAGCCACCACCACUACUAGUAGAAUAGCCAAGAAGGCGCUUAGUUCGCCAAGAGUUUGAAGCCUUGGCAUGUAUGUACGCAUACACUGACACGAGGAUUCUUGAAGGCUGAAGAAGCUCUCAAGGCUAAUCGCAUGAAGAUCUGUAUGGCCGAAGAGCGAAGACUGGUACACAAAGACUAGCCAAUUAUUCACCGAGAGACAAUGCCACGUGAAGAAAGCAAAGAUUCCUGAAGAUUGAAACUUGUCGGCACUCUCUCGCACUUUUCUAUAUUAUUAGAAGGACACGCGUAUACCCUAGUAGGACACGUGUGCAUGCUACCGUGGGUAAAAUAAGUGAAGGAAGGCUCCCGAAGGCCACCUUGCAGCCACCCCUCGCGGCUAUAAAAGGAGACGCUGGGCUCAAGAAGAGAACACAAGAGACGGGAGAGCACGGAGCACUCAAAGCAUCGAGACUCUCCACCAGAGCACCACUUCCUUCGUAGUCUAGCCACCACCACUACUAGUAGAAUAGCCCAGAAGGCGCUUAGUUCGCCAAGAGUUUGAAGGUAAUUUCCUAGUUGUGUGUAAUCCCUUCGAGGCCUCCCGAAAGGGAAAACCAUAUGUAAAUUAUGUUGUUGAAAUGAUGUAGUUUCUUGGUUUCACUUAGUGCUUUUAUUUAUGAAUUUAUGGG